AUACUCUGGUUUCUCUUCAGAUCAAAUAAAUCCCUUUUACUAAAGAUUUCCCUGGAACGGAUUUACUAUGAGUUUUCAAGAAUUUUUUAUGAGACUCUACAUUGUAGAGCUA
This is a small nuclear RNA of Bombina bombina (fire-bellied toad), 112 nucleotides long. RefSeq annotates it as U5 spliceosomal RNA. The transcript has a single exon. Lineage: Eukaryota; Metazoa; Chordata; Amphibia; Anura; Bombinatoridae. The record is from RefSeq and is a predicted model, not a curated record.